Molecule: transfer RNA, 66 nt
Filed under: Algete brunneri
Lineage: Eukaryota; Metazoa; Arthropoda; Insecta; Orthoptera; Pyrgomorphidae
Description: tRNA-Pro
Source: RNAcentral
CAGAGGUUAUUUUAUAUAAAAUAUUAACUUUGGAUGUUAAAGAUGGAAAUUAACUCCCACCUCUGA